CCAAGCGAUGGGGUGACGCAGGAAGAUAGCUGGGCCAGUCAGUGGUCGUACUGGUGUAAGAGUGUAGGCCGUGACAUAGGCAAAUCCGUGUCACAUUAAGGCUGAGACUUGAUGCAUACCCGUUGUGGGGAAUUCAGUGAUCCUAUGCUGCCGAGAAAAGCCUCUAGUGAGUUCAUACACGGCCCGUACCCCAAACCGACACAGGUGAUCAGGUAGAGAAUACCAAGGCGAUCGAGAGAACUGUGGUUAAGGAACUCGGCAAAAUGCCCCCGUAACUUCGGGAGAAGGGGGACCAUGCCCGGUGAACAUCUUCACGGUGGGAGCUGGGUGUGGUCGCAGAGACCAGAGAGAAGCGACUGUUUACUAAAAACACAGGUCCGUGCGAAGACGUAAGUCGAUGUAUACGGACUGACGCCUGCCCGGUGCUGGAAGGUUAAGAGGACCGGUUAGCCGUAAGGCGAAGCUGAGAAUUUAAGCCCCAGUAAACGGCGGUGGUAACUAUAACCAUCCUAAGGUAGCGAAAUUCCUUGUCGGGUAAGUUCCGACCUGCACGAAUGGCGUAACGACUUCUCUGCUGUCUCGACCACAGACUCGGCGAAAUUGCACUACGAGUAAAGAUGCUCGUUACGCGCGGCAGGACGAAAAGACCCCGGGACCUUUACUAUAGCUUGGUAUUGGCGUUCGAUUCGGUUUGUGUAGGAUAGGUGGGAGACUGUGAAGCAUGCACGCCAGUGUGUGUGGAGUCGUUGUUGAAAUACCACUCUGAUCGUAUUGGACGUCUAACCUCGGCCCAUGAUCUGGGUUAGGGACAGUGCCUGGUGGGUAGUUUAACUGGGGCGGUUGCCUCCUAAAGAGUAACGGAGGCGCCUAAAGGUUCCCUCAGCCUGGAUGGCAAUCAGGUGUUGAGUGCAAGUGCACAAGGGAGCUUGACUGUGAGACGGACACGUCGAGCAGGGACGAAAGUCGGGACUAGUGAUCCGGCACCGGCAAGUGGAAGCGGUGUCGCUCAACGGAUAAAAGGUACCCCGGGGAUAACAGGCUGAUCUUCCCCAAGAGUCCAUAUCGACGGGAUGGUUUGUCACCUCGACGUCGGCUCGUCGCAUCCUGGGGCUGGAGUAGGUUCCAAGGGUUGGGCUGUUCGCCCAUUAAAGCGGCACGCGAGCUGGGUUUAGAACGUCGUGAGACAGUUCGGUCUCUAUCCGCCGCGCGCGUAAGAAACUUGAGGAAGGCUGUCCCUAGUACGAGAGGACCGGGACGGACGAACCUCUGGUGUGCCAGUUGUUCCACCAGGAGCAUGGCUGGUUAGCUACGUUCGGAAGGGAUAACCGCUGAAAGCAUCUAAGCGGGAAGCCUGUUCCAAGAUGAGGUUUCUCACCACCUUGCGUGGUUAAGGCCCCCUACAGACCAUGGGGUUGAUAGGCCGGAACUGGAAGCGCAGCAAUGCGUGGAGGUGACCGGUACUAAUAGGCCGAGGGCU
Molecule: ribosomal RNA, 1477 nt
Filed under: metagenome
Description: bacterial LSU rRNA
Rfam family: Bacterial large subunit ribosomal RNA
Source: RNAcentral